Molecule: ribosomal RNA, 253 nt
Filed under: uncultured bacterium
Lineage: Bacteria
Description: partial 16S ribosomal RNA
Rfam family: Bacterial small subunit ribosomal RNA
Source: RNAcentral
UACGAAGGGGGCUAGCGUUGCUCGGAAUUACUGGGCGUAAAGCGCACGUAGGCGGCUCUUUAAGUCGGGGGUGAAAUCCUGGAGCUCAACUCCAGAACUGCCUUCGAUACUGUAGAGCUUGAGUUCGGAAGAGGUGAGUGGAAUUCCUAGUGUAGAGGUGAAAUUCGUAGAUAUUAGGAAGAACACCAGUGGCGAAGGCGGCUCACUGGUCCGGUACUGACGCUGAGGUGCGAAAGCGUGGGGAGCAAACAGG